Electrophorus electricus (electric eel) is the source of this 2379-nucleotide long non-coding RNA. RefSeq lists it as uncharacterized. The record is from RefSeq and is a predicted model, not a curated record. Lineage: Eukaryota; Metazoa; Chordata; Actinopteri; Gymnotiformes; Gymnotidae.
CAGAAAAAGAGUCCCUCCUUCAGACGAAGGGGCUGUCUCAUGAACUCUUUCUUUACCCUGACAUCUAAAGAAACUUGAUCUUUUAAAGAAAAGGUGAGAGUUGAGCGUGCAAAACCCAUUUUGGGUUCAGCUGGACAGCAUUGCAUUAAGUAGCUGUUCCCAAGCCAGGCCUAUAACCUGAAUAUGAAUAUAUCUCAGCUUUUAGUUUUAACAAUUGUACGACACAGCAGAAAGGAAAGAGAUUUGAAGGCAUUUAUUCUCCAACCAGGUUAAUGUUCUUAAUUUGCUUCAAUGCGCGUCCGUUCUUGUGUUAAUUCGAAUGCCAUUCUGUGCCUAUGAUAUAGCUAUUGUGUGUAUUUGUUGUGGAUAAGGGGCAAACGCUCUGGUCUUAUUUGAUGUUUUUGUUUAGACUAUGUCCUGCAUUAAAUGAUUGCUCUUCCCCAAGAUUCCUAAAUGAACUCAGCUGUUAUGCAGGUACAUGGAUUAAUAUCACCCUUAACGGAUGUGGUGUAAGCAAACUCUUUGCAGGUUUCGUCUAUUACUUUUCUUCUAAUUUAACGGGAAUUUGUACGCAAAUAAAUCCAAAUAGAAAUGUUUUAACUGGCGAUCAUACUGUAAUUGCAAGGCAAUCAUAACGCAGGGUAUCUUAUUCAGAAAUGCUCUUUUGAAAAUGUAGGUCUAAUAAUUUGAAAAAGAUGCGCACUUAAAAUAGGCUGCAACGUGCAUCACGCACGACCUGCUAUUUGGCGCGCCUGCUUGUUGAGAUGAUGUAAAAAAAACAACAAAAAAAAAACAAACAAACAAAAAAAAAAGGUUAAAAUAAAUAUUUGGCUUCAGACCGUCUCUUUUCCGCAGACACGUCACACCUCAACGAAUAUUCAAUCACAGUUCACGCUCUCCCUCAUUAUUUUUCAUCUUCACGUGUUUUCAUCAUCAAAAAAGAGUAACUACUUUUUUUCAUUUAAAACAGAGGAGGUGAAAGCAGCGUGAGGACCGUUGCCAGGGGGAAAACGCCACCUCACCGCCUUCAGAAAGCAGGCUGAGCUGUUGGAGAAAGAGGAAGCCAAGUGAAACCCAGCACAGACAGCCUGACAGCUCCAGCCUGGGGAACGCGUGGAUGAGGGAUGCUCUAGACCUCCUCCACUGAAAUGACUGUGGCAGGUUUUUUAAACAGAAGGUAUGGUAACAAGACAGCAAGUGGACAGAUAGAUAAAUAUAUUGCUAGAUAACUAGAUGUAUAGAUAUAUAGAUAAAUAGAACUUUAUUGAUCCUCAAAGGCACAUCAAGUACAGAGGACAGCACAAAUAAAAUGCUACAAGAACACACGGUCAGAUAAUGAGGAUGAUGGUAAUGAUGAUGUAUGAUGGUAAAGUGUCCAGUGGUAAUACUAAAGUAAAAUUAAAGCAGAGAUUAAUGUUUUCUGCACCACUUAAACCAAUGUGGAUGAAUCCUAAAAUUAAGCUAAAUGAGUCCUUGAAUGACCAUAAAGUUUGUCUGAAAUUAUGCUCAUUGUGGUUCUUGAAAUAUGAAGCCAUGAAUGUAAGAAUCUCCAGUCUUAACCUGUGCAAUACUAGGCUGACCUGAGCUCUGACGGACACGCUGGCAUUCAGAGCAUACAGGUAUGUGUUCUCCCACCAUCGUGUCAUUAAGAUGAUCAACUCAGUUUCAUAGCCGGAGCUUCUGGAGUUUGAUGGGCAGGCGGCCGUCAAACAGGUGUUCUCACCCUCCCUGCACUUUCAAGAUGCAGAAGGCCAGCAUGACAAAAAUACCAGCUUCACAGUGCUUAGCAGCUCCUGCAGCUGUUGCUUUUCCAGAGGCUGCUCAUGCUCGUGAUGCCCUCCAGAUCUGCUUCACACCCACACCAGAAAACAACGUGAUGAAAACAACCAGAAACCUGAAUGAACGAGCCUCGUGUGUUGUGUGUUAAUGGAAAUAUAAGAUGCAAAAGUGCUAGUCUUUCUGAGGGGGUUGUCAGGUUGGGCAAGGACUCACCUUAUUUGGAGGACUCUGGGUUUUUAUCUUUGCUCUGUUCGUCAUGAUGUUUUCACAAGUUUAUUUGGAACAUUUGUUUUUCCUUUGUGCACAGUUAGCAAGCCAUAGGUGCUGGCAUAUAUAACACAGCUGCGACACAGAUCAGCUCCCCAAACUGAGAAGUAAGUACAAACACAUAGUGGGGAAUGUCCUGGACAAAACAAACAAACAAAAACAAUUAAAGGACUAAACAACUGGCCUCCAAAACUGUAUGUUUUUGGUAGUCAUCAGAGAAACAAUGUUACAUGUAGAGAAGAAAUUUUGGAUGUUUUUAUGGUGCUUUCAUCACAUUAUUUGGCAUAUGUGAAGGUUUGUGUUUUGCAAUGUAAAUAAAAGUUACUUUACUGA